Molecule: ribosomal RNA, 497 nt
Filed under: uncultured bacterium
Lineage: Bacteria
Description: partial 16S ribosomal RNA
Rfam family: Bacterial small subunit ribosomal RNA
Source: RNAcentral
GAUGAACGCUGGCGGCGUGCCUAAUACAUGCAAGUCGAGCGAACGGACGAGAAGUUUGCUUCUCUGAUGUUAGCGGCGGACGGGUGAGUAACACGUGGAUAACCUACCUAUAAGACUGGGAUAACUUCGGGAAACCGGAUCUAAUAUCGGAUGAUAUUUUGAACCGCAUGGUUCAAAAGUGAAAGACGGUCUUGCUGUCACUUAUAGAUGGAUCCGCGCUGCAUUAGCUAGUUGGUAAGGUAACGGCUUACCAAGGCAACGAUGCAUAGCCGACCUGAGAGGGUGAUCGGCCACACUGGAACUGAGACACGGUCCAGACUCCUACGGGAGGCAGCAGUAGGGAAUCUUGCGCAAUGGGCGAAAGCCUGACGGAGCAACGCCGCGUGAGUGAUGAAGGUCUUCGGAUCGUAAAACUCUGUUAUUAGGGAAGAACAUAUGUGUGAGUAACUGUGCACAUCUUGACGGUACCUAAUCAAAAAGCCACGGCUAACUACGUG